RNAcentral lists this ribosomal RNA (254 nucleotides) under uncultured bacterium. RNAcentral describes it as "partial 16S ribosomal RNA". It matches the Rfam family "Bacterial small subunit ribosomal RNA", at positions 524 to 776 of the family's 1533-position model. The record is from RNAcentral.
UACGGGGGGAGCAAGCGUUGUUCGGAUUUACUGGGCGUAAAGGGCGCGUAGGCGGUCCGCCCAAGUCAGUUGUGAAAUCUCCGGGCUUAACUCGGAAAGGUCAACUGAUACUGUGCGACUAGAGUGCAGAAGGGGCAACUGGAAUUCUCGGUGUAGCGGUGAAAUGCGUAGAUAUCGAGAGGAACACCUGCGGCGAAGGCGGGUUGCUGGGCUGACACUGACGCUGAGGCGCGAAAGCCAGGGGAGCGAACGGG